This 126-nucleotide small RNA is filed under the name Marmota monax (woodchuck). The record is from RNAcentral. Lineage: Eukaryota; Metazoa; Chordata; Mammalia; Rodentia; Sciuridae.
GCUGGGUGUGUUGGCACAUGCCUGUAAUCCCAGUGUUCAGGAGGCUGAGGUAGUUGGAUCACUAGUUUGAGGUCAGUCUCAGCAACUCAACAAGGCCCUAAGCAACUUAGUGAGAAUUUGUCUCAA